UACGAACCGAGCGAACGUUGUUCGGAAUCACUGGGCUUAAAGGGCGUGUAGGCGGCCAUACAGGUCCGUUGUGAAAACUCGAGGCUUAACCUCGAGACGUCGAUGGAAACCGUAUGGCUAGAGUCCGGAAGAGGAGAGUGGAAUUCCUGGUGUAGCGGUGAAAUGCGCAGAUAUCAGGAAGAACACCCGUGGCGAAGGCGGCUCUCUGGGGCGGUACUGACGCUGAGACGCGAAAGCGUGGGGAGCGAACAGG
RNAcentral lists this ribosomal RNA (253 nucleotides) under uncultured bacterium. RNAcentral's name for it is "partial 16S ribosomal RNA". It matches the Rfam family "Bacterial small subunit ribosomal RNA", at positions 524 to 776 of the family's 1533-position model. The record is from RNAcentral.